GGUUUUGGGUCUUCAACGGCAGGAACAGAAGCUGAAACUCCAGCUCCAUUGUCUGGUAAAGACUUAGGAGUGGAAAGCGAAAGAAAGGGUUUCUUAAGAGGGAGAAAAAGAGUGGGUUUGUGGGUGAAAUUGGGGUUGACAGAGAAGGAGGUAGGACAAGGAGGAGAAAACAAGGCCAUGGAUAUUGACAUAGAUUCGUGUAUUCAGUUUUGUUUUGGUUUUUUGAGGAUGAUGAUGGAGUGAUGAACUUUUUCUUUUUCAGGUACAGACCAUGGUUGAGUUCAGUUUGUGGGGGAGAAGGGUGUGGUGUUUGAGGCUGUCAGCCAUCCACCAAUUUGACUUAAAAAAUUGGAAGUUAUUGCAGUUCGAUACUUUGGGCUCACUUU
RNAcentral lists this long non-coding RNA (386 nucleotides) under Gossypium raimondii (Peruvian cotton). RNAcentral's name for it is "long non-coding RNA (GRAI_LNC003165)". Lineage: Eukaryota; Viridiplantae; Streptophyta; Magnoliopsida; Malvales; Malvaceae. The record is from RNAcentral.